RNAcentral lists this ribosomal RNA (430 nucleotides) under uncultured bacterium. RNAcentral describes it as "partial 16S ribosomal RNA". It matches the Rfam family "Bacterial small subunit ribosomal RNA", at positions 29 to 506 of the family's 1533-position model. The record is from RNAcentral.
AACGAACGCUGGCGGCAGGCUUAACACAUGCAAGUCGAGCGCCCCGCAAGGGGAGCAGCAGACGGGUGAGUAACGCGUGGGAACGUACCUUUUGGUUCGGAACAACUCCGGGAAACUGGAGCUAAUACCGGAUAAGCCCUAACGGGGAAAGAUUUAUCGCCGAAAGAUCGGCCCGCGUCUGAUUAGCUAGUUGGUGAGGUAACGGCUCACCAAGGCGACGAUCAGUAGCUGGUCUGAGAGGAUGAUCAGCCACACUGGGACUGAGACACGGCCCAGACUCCUACGGGAGGCAGCAGUGGGGAAUAUUGGACAAUGGGCGCAAGCCUGAUCCAGCCAUGCCGCGUGAGUGAUGAAGGCCUUAGGGUUGUAAAGCUCUUUUGUCCGGGAAGAUAAUGACUGUACCGGAAGAAUAAGCCCCGGCUAACUUCGU